Molecule: transfer RNA, 85 nt
Filed under: Candidatus Uhrbacteria bacterium
Lineage: Bacteria; Candidatus Uhriibacteriota
Description: tRNA-Leu
Rfam family: tRNA
About the family: Transfer RNA (tRNA) molecules are approximately 80 nucleotides in length. Their secondary structure includes four short double-helical elements and three loops (D, anti-codon, and T loops).
Source: RNAcentral
GCCGCGGUGGCGAAAUUGGCAGACGCACACGACUCAAAAUCGUGCGGAGAAAUCCAUGAGGGUUCAAGUCCCUCCCGCGGCACCA